CCCUUAGAUGUUCUGGGCUGCACGCGCGCUACACUGAUGCAUCCAGCGAGUUGUAACCUUGCUUGGUAAAGUUUGGUAAUCUGAGCCUAAUGUGCAUCGUGAUGGGAAUAGAGUUUUGCAACUAUUAGUCUUGAACGAGGAAUUCCCCGUAAGCACGAGUCAUCAGCUUGUGCUGAUUACGUCCCUGCCCUUUGUACACACCGCCCGUCGCUCCUACCGAUUGGGUGCUCCGGUGAAGCCUCCGGAUUGCACAGGCCCCGUGUCUGGCGCGAGAAGUUGGCUAAACCUUACCAUUUAGAGGAAGGUGAAGUCGUANCA
Molecule: ribosomal RNA, 318 nt
Filed under: uncultured eukaryote
Lineage: Eukaryota
Description: partial 18S ribosomal RNA
Rfam family: Eukaryotic small subunit ribosomal RNA
Source: RNAcentral